Long non-coding RNA from Astyanax mexicanus (Mexican tetra), 281 nucleotides. RefSeq lists it as uncharacterized. NCBI's taxonomy places the organism in Eukaryota, Metazoa, Chordata, Actinopteri, Characiformes, Acestrorhamphidae. The record is from RefSeq and is a predicted model, not a curated record. The transcript is spliced from 3 exons.
UGUGUAGUGAUGAUGAAUUCUGAAGCUACAUGAAGUUUGGAGGUGUGUAGUGAUGAACUCUGAAGCUACAUGAAGUUUGGAGGUGUGUAGUGAUGAACUAAUCUGAAGCUACAUGAAGUUUGGAGGUGUGUAGUGAUGAACUAAUCUGAAGCUACAUGAAGUUUGGAGGUGUGUAGUGAUGAACUAAUCUGAAGCUACAUGAAGUUUGGAGGUGUGCAGUGAUGAACUCUGAAGCUACAUGAAGUUUGGAGGUGUAUAGUGAUGAACUCUGAAGCUACAUG